RNAcentral lists this ribosomal RNA (1381 nucleotides) under Serratia ureilytica. RNAcentral describes it as "partial 23S ribosomal RNA". It matches the Rfam family "Bacterial large subunit ribosomal RNA", at positions 391 to 1769 of the family's 2925-position model. Lineage: Bacteria; Pseudomonadati; Pseudomonadota; Gammaproteobacteria; Enterobacterales; Yersiniaceae. The record is from RNAcentral.
CACAGGUCGUGAGUUCGAUGAGUAGGGCGGGACACGUGACAUCCUGUCUGAAUAUGGGGGGACCAUCCUCCAAGGCUAAAUACUCCUGACUGACCGAUAGUGAACCAGUACCGUGAGGGAAAGGCGAAAAGAACCCCGGCGAGGGGAGUGAAAUAGAACCUGAAACCGUGUACGUACAAGCAGUGGGAGCACCUUCGUGGUGUGACUGCGUACCUUUUGUAUAAUGGGUCAGCGACUUAUAUUUUGUAGCAAGGUUAACCGUAUAGGGGAGCCGUAGGGAAACCGAGUCUUAACUGGGCGACUAGUUGCAAGGUAUAGACCCGAAACCCGGUGAUCUAGCCAUGGGCAGGUUGAAGGUUGGGUAACACUAACUGGAGGACCGAACCGACUAAUGUUGAAAAAUUAGCGGAUGACUUGUGGCUGGGGGUGAAAGGCCAAUCAAACCGGGAGAUAGCUGGUUCUCCCCGAAAGCUAUUUAGGUAGCGCCUCGUGAACUCAUCUUCGGGGGUAGAGCACUGUUUCGGCUAGGGGGCCAUCCCGGCUUACCAAACCGAUGCAAACUCCGAAUACCGAAGAAUGUUAUCACGGGAGACACACGGCGGGUGCUAACGUCCGUCGUGAAGAGGGAAACAACCCAGACCGCCAGCUAAGGUCCCAAAGUCAUGGUUAAGUGGGAAACGAUGUGGGAAGGCAUAGACAGCCAGGAUGUUGGCUUAGAAGCAGCCAUCAUUUAAAGAAAGCGUAAUAGCUCACUGGUCGAGUCGGCCUGCGCGGAAGAUGUAACGGGGCUAAACCAUGCACCGAAGCUGCGGCAGCGACGCUUAGGCGUUGUUGGGUAGGGGAGCGUUCUGUAAGCCGUUGAAGGUGGCCUGUGAGGGUUGCUGGAGGUAUCAGAAGUGCGAAUGCUGACAUAAGUAACGAUAAAGCGGGUGAAAAGCCCGCUCGCCGGAAGACCAAGGGUUCCUGUCCAACGUUAAUCGGGGCAGGGUGAGUCGACCCCUAAGGCGAGGCUGAAAAGCGUAGUCGAUGGGAAACAGGUUAAUAUUCCUGUACUUGGUGUUACUGCGAAGGGGGGACGGAGAAGGCUAGGCUGGCCGGGCGACGGUUGUCCCGGUUUAAGCGUGUAGGGGGUGUGACCUGGUAAAUCCGGUUGCAUAUCAACCCUGAGGCGUGAUGACGAUGCACUACGGUGCAGAAGUAGUUGAUGCCCUGCUUCCAGGAAAAUCCUCUAAGCUCCAGGUAACAUUAAAUCGUACCCCAAACCGACACAGGUGGUCAGGUAGAGAAUACCAAGGCGCUUGAGAGAACUCGGGUGAAGGAACUAGGCAAAAUGGUGCCGUAACUUCGGGAGAAGGCACGCUGGCAUGUAGGUGAAGUCCCU